This 253-nucleotide ribosomal RNA is filed under the name uncultured bacterium. RNAcentral's name for it is "partial 16S ribosomal RNA". It matches the Rfam family "Bacterial small subunit ribosomal RNA", at positions 524 to 776 of the family's 1533-position model. The record is from RNAcentral.
UACGGAGGGUGCAAACGUUGCUCGGAAUCAUUGGGCGUAAAGCGCACGUAGGCGGAUUUGUUAGUCAGGGGUGAAAUCCCGGGGCUCAACCUCGGAACUGCCUUUGAUACUGCAAGUCUCGAGUCCGGAAGAGGUGAGUGGAAUUCCUAGUGUAGAGGUGAAAUUCGUAGAUAUUAGGAAGAACACCAGUGGCGAAGGCGGCUCACUGGUCCGGUACUGACGCUGAGGUGCGAAAGCGUGGGGAGCAAACAGG